UUGCUGUUGUUGAACUUUCCUUACACAAAUUUUCUAUGGCCCCUAUUCAGGUGAAUAUUUCAGUUAAUGAAAAGUUUUGGCAAAUCUUCCUUUUAUCACAUGAUAUUUUGAUCCUUGUAAUUUUGAACACUUGGGUUUGUUGAUAUUUAUUUUAAUAAAAACUGCACGCCUGCAUACACCCACUCGUAAAUGUAAAUAAUGUGAUUAUCUCUCUCUCUGCCUUCUUUUUUGAUAGUACCAGAUAACAAGUGUCUCUAGGGAAGAAUUUUGUUUUUCCAUGUUUGUAAAAGGGCUGUGAGGCUUGUGCAUGCAAUGUUAAUAUAAAUAUAAGACAAUGAAUGGAUUUAUUGCCUGGGUGCAGUCUGCUGGUGUAUGUGACAAGGCAGACCGGACAGAUACCCUGGCAUCUAUGUUCGGUUUGCUAAAGAAAUAAUUUCUGAGUGGGAGUUCCCCAGCUGGUCCUUCCGUAGCUGAAGAAAGAUAAUACUUUAGAGCCAUUCCCUCUUCCAGUUUAGGCAUAGCCUCCUUCCUGAUUAGUCAGUUGUAAUCAGUGACAUCAUGGUAAUGGUGAGAGAAGAGCAUUUGUAUUUAAAAUGCCUAGAUGAACGAUGAAUAUAGAGAUUGGAUACUUCAAAAUCAAACUCUUCUCUAUAAGAUGUUGAUUCUUCUCACUUGAGAAGAAAGAACUACUGAGAUCUUAAAAAAGAAAAAAAAAAAAAAGGAAAAAAAAAGAAAAAAGAAAAAAAUGAAAAAGGACUGUGCUUCACAUAUCAAAGAAAAAUGGUACUGAGUGGCUUAAAAUAUUCCAUGCUCUCUUAAGUAAGCCUAUCUCUAAAAUGUCAAAGCGUGAAGUUCUCCAGGAACUCUUGCAUCAGCUUGAGGGAUAAGGUUAGGAAGAAAUAGCACCAUUUAAAUGGAAUCCCAUUUAUUUCCACACUUGGUACGUUUAUAUUACCAGUCUGCAGCAACAGUUGUAUUUGCAUAUGUAAGAUAACCUCCAAAUGGACAACAGAGUUCUUGCCAAAAAUCUUCUCUUCAAACACAAGUACAAUAAAAUCAUCUCUGCUGAUAGCUGAAUCACAGAAUCACAGAAUUGUAGGGGUUGGAAUGGACCUCCAGAGAUCAUCGAGUCCAACCCCCCUGCCAAAGCAGGUUCCCUACACCAGGUCACACAGGUAGGUGCCCAGGUGGGCUCUAAUAUUAUAUAUAAAUACAUAUAUAUGUCAAAAUAAUAAGAUUUAUCAAUUGUCCUUUAUCGUUCUGGUGAACAGCAACUGGUUGUUUCACUGAGAGCCAGGGCUGCUGACAGAAACUUGUGACCACUAGGCAUAACCUGCCCAAGUUGGUUUUUUACUCAAGCAAAAUUGGAAGACUCUAGAAAUUAAAUAAACUGGUUUUCUUAAGUUUGACUACA
RNAcentral lists this long non-coding RNA (1414 nucleotides) under Coturnix japonica (Japanese quail). Its description in RNAcentral is "lncRNA (ENSCJPG00005010391.1)". The record is from RNAcentral. Lineage: Eukaryota; Metazoa; Chordata; Aves; Galliformes; Phasianidae.